This 279-nucleotide unclassified non-coding RNA is filed under the name Basidiomycota sp. Its description in RNAcentral is "partial contains small subunit ribosomal RNA, internal transcribed spacer 1, and 5.8S ribosomal RNA". The stretch from base 1 to 47 matches the Rfam family "Eukaryotic small subunit ribosomal RNA", at positions 1785 to 1831 of the family's 1831-position model. The record is from RNAcentral. Lineage: Eukaryota; Fungi; Basidiomycota.
AAAGUCGUAACAAGGUUUCCGUAGGUGAACCUGCGGAAGGAUCAUUAUUGAAAUAGAUCGUCAGUCUACUCUGGCGCUCUUUGGGUUGUCGGCGGACCGCAUGCUCCAAGCAAUUGGAGUGGUCCGCUGCAUCCUGAAAACCACAGUGUGCACCGUACAUAUUGCAUUUGCGUAAUGUUCUAUUUUUUUUUCUCUUGUCUGAUGUUGAACUUCUGAUUUUGGCUUUAUCGCUGAAAGACUGAAUUAAAACAACUUUUAACAAUGGAUCUCUUGGCUCUC